GGAGAAGGCUCCUAUCCUAAGAAUUAUGGAGGGGUAGCUGGAACCGGAAGAAAGUGGACGUAAGUAAUUCCGAAUAUUGUAAAAAAAAUGCUUGCAAGUUUGAUGUAUGUUAAACAGGGGAUUAAGAUUCUCUAGAAACCCACGUCCUGACCUUUUAAUUGAAAAUCAUAGAAUUAUGCACUGGAUAAAAGCUCAAGGGGCUUCUCAUCCUUUUCUUUUGCUCAGCUCUAGAGCAUCAUAAACCUGGACUCCCUUUUCGUUGUCGUAAUGUCCAAUUGAUAUAAGCAUGCUGGUUACACUACUGGUACUCUGAAAUCAGAUGGUAUUUUGAUCGGAACAAAGGAAAAAUCUGGUGAAUGAAAGAAUUAGACUGUCUUUCAAACUUUUAUUUAGGAAACAGUUCUCUUGUUAAGCUGCAUCUACUUAAAUCUCAUUGAAGAACAGCAUGGAUAAAUUUUUGGUCGUUUUGAUCGGAACAAAAUCGAACUUCUGAAUCGUUCAGUAUUUAACUGGGUUCUUUCCUAAAGCGUUGCACUAGUAGUAGCUUGAACAUACCGCCCCACCCAGAUUUCCUUGAUAAUCAAUUUCAAAUCUCUGGGCACUCAUUUUCUAAGUAUAUUCCUGCUGUGGCUUUGGAGGUUGUAAUAUGCAGGUAUUCAUCACUGGUUUCUGUCUUGGCUCUCUUUCCAUACAGCGCACGACAGAAUUUCUAUAUCAGGUAUCCAAGUGGGUUCAAAAUCUGUUCUUGAAUCAAAGGUCAGCAUCGUCCUCCGUCAUAUUAAUCUUUUGUUUUCGUUGGGCCUUAGUUUUUCCUUAUGAUAAAUUUGUCAAAACCUCCUUUCAGAUGAAGAUGCUCUUGUACCAUUCGGAUUUGGAACGAAUCACAUAUCUGAUGAUCUUUAGCAGGUGGUUCUGCGCCUCUUCCUCAUCAAAACUAUGAAUCAUAAGCUCGUCUCUAAUACACGAUAUACACAGUUAAUCUGGCUCGUGGUGGAAGCUGCCGGAGUCCUGUCAAUUGCAGACUCUACUAGCUAAAUUCAGCAAGGUAAAAUACCUGCUAAUGUUCCUUCCCCGCUAAAUUCUCUCUUUAUCUCAAUCAUAUCAUUCCCAUCCACCAUACUGAUCACUUCCAGGGAGCUGAGGAACUUAGCUGGUUAUGUGAAAUCUUCGGGCUAAAUCAGGCAAGCGGUGACGAAUGACUGAAGGCUUGACAAUUUCGGAAAUUUGGGUCGCACUCACAGGCUUGUUGCUGUGUGGCCGGUAUCAGCGUCUGAGAGCUCCAGGGAGGUGAGGUUGCCUGUUUGAUGAGUCCUGAAAACUGAGGUGCCUCCUUUUCAUCACCUUGGUUUUUUAUUGACCAUCCUUUAUUUAAUGUCUCAGGAUUUACUUGUUCUUUCUCCCGCGAGGAUAUGCCCAUAUAUAGUAAAAUGGUGGCAACAAAUGCUCGGGGGAUCUUCUAGCCCUUUGAAAGAGCUGCCGGCAUCACCGGCUGGAAGCUGUCUUUCCCAAGACUUAUGCUUGCCCUGUGUGUGAAAAAUCUCUUGUUGGGAAUCUUGAAGAUGGAUCUACGAGAGGGCAUGCCUGCAAUCUCUCCUGUAUAUUUAGAAAUGCCAUUGAAGUUGAGAGGCUUAGGAGGAAGAAACAGAUGCAUCCUGAUCAUUGAGAUAUAUAUAUAUAUAUAUACAUACAUUUCCGAGUUUAGAUUAACUUGGGUGGAAUCCUGAGGUCGGUUCAUGCGUUUUUCCACUUUUAUAGCAUGGAAAGCGGCACGGAGCUUCAUGUGUUUUGGAUCUAUUGGUCCAAUCUCUCUGGAAGAGACUGAGAGGGCAGGCGGGAGUGAGCACUGUCACCACCAUUCAAACCUGCCAGUAAUCAAGAUCAGAAUCCGUUGGCUCCAAAAAUGAAUGUUCUGAUUCUAUAGUUUGUCGCUUAUUAAUUAAAUGGGUGAUAGAAGAUCUCAAAAUGAAGAGGACAUAAGUAAACAGAAUAUUAACCACACCUACGAAGAUGUGUUUCUAUAGCUAAUAAGCCACCUACACGAAGGCUUGCGAAAGGCCGUAUUUGAACAUAUAACUGAUGUUCACAAGUUUAACAAGGUACUAUCGUGUGUGUGUGUGUGUGUGUG
This 2125-nucleotide long non-coding RNA is filed under the name Spirodela polyrhiza (greater duckweed). RNAcentral's name for it is "long non-coding RNA (SPOL_LNC002087)". The record is from RNAcentral. Lineage: Eukaryota; Viridiplantae; Streptophyta; Magnoliopsida; Alismatales; Araceae.